RNAcentral lists this ribosomal RNA (402 nucleotides) under Verrucomicrobiota bacterium. RNAcentral describes it as "Verrucomicrobia bacterium partial 16S ribosomal RNA". It matches the Rfam family "Bacterial small subunit ribosomal RNA", at positions 355 to 776 of the family's 1533-position model. The record is from RNAcentral. Lineage: Bacteria; Pseudomonadati; Verrucomicrobiota.
UGGGGAAUUUUGCACAAUGGGGGAAACCCUGAUGCAGCGACGCCGCUUGAUUUAGAAGGCCUUCGGGUUGUAAAAAUCUUUUUUAUGGGAUGAAAAUGACAGUACCAUAAGAAUAAGGUCCGGCUAAAUACGUGCCAGCAGCCGCGGUAAUACGUAUGGACCGAGCGUUGUCCGGAAUCAUUGGGCGUAAAGGGUACGUAGGCGGCCCAGUAAGUUAGAAGUGAAAUAAUAUAGCUCAACUAUAUAAAGCUUUUAAAACUGCUAGGCUUGAGAGAUGGAAGGGAAAGUGGAAUUCCUAGUGUAGCGGUGAAAUGCGCAGAUAUUAGGAAGAAUACCGGUGGCGAAGGCGACUUUCUGGUAAUCAUCUGACGCUGAGGUACGAAAGCGUGGGUAGCAAACAGG